Long non-coding RNA from Mesocricetus auratus (golden hamster), 536 nucleotides. RefSeq lists it as uncharacterized. The record is from RefSeq and is a predicted model, not a curated record. NCBI's taxonomy places the organism in Eukaryota, Metazoa, Chordata, Mammalia, Rodentia, Cricetidae. The transcript is spliced from 3 exons.
AGUCUUGUCGUCAUUUCAUAGAACCUGACUUCUUGGUUGAGAAACAUUUCACCAAACUGAGCCCUGGUUCCUGAUUUCUGUGGCCCUACUAAUUUAAAACUGUUUUACUUGGCAGGUAGAAGCCACAGCUUGUCUGAGACGGUUGGGUAACUUAUCUACAGCCAUUAAAGACAGAGGACUACAGAGCUAAUGAGACCUAAUAUUUCACACCCAUGGAUCCAAAGAGCUGUGGACACAACGGGCACCCUCAAACCGCUAUCUGGAUGCAUCUGCCACACUGUGACACCACCCAGGUGCUCUUGCCAAAACGGGCACUUUGUGGCUUAGACUUUCUAGCUACCCACCAACUUCACCACCCAGACAGAUUGGCCUUCAGCUUUCCUACCUCACCCUCCGGAAUGCUGGGAUUAUGACUAUGCACCAUUUUUGCCGCAGCCAGAUCAUUGAAUUUUUUCAGAAAACCAAUUGACUAGCCGGGUGUGGUGGUGGCGCACGCCUUUAGUCCCAGCACCCAGGAACCCUGUUUCAAAAUAAAA